GGAGCGAACGCUGGCGGCAGGCCUAAAACAUGCAAGUCGAACGCCGUAGCAAUACGGAGUGGCAGACGGGUGAGUAACACGUGGGAACGUACCCUUUGGUUCGGAACAACACAGGGAAACUUGUGCUAAUACCGGAUAAGCCCUUACGGGGAAAGAUUUAUCGCCGAAGGAUCGGCCCGCGUCUGAUUAGCUAGUUGGUGAGGUAACGGCUCACCAAGGCUACGAUCAGUAGCUGGCCUGAGAGGAUGAUCAGCCACACUGGGACUGAGACACGGCCCAGACUCCUACGGGAGGCAGCAGUUAGGAAUCUUGGACAAUGGGCGCAAGCCUGACUCCAGCCAUCGCCGCGUGAGUGAUGGAAGGCCGUUAGGGUUGUAAAGCUUCUUCGAGACGGGAAGAUAAGUGAACGGUACCCGAGAGAAGAACGCCCCGGAUAACCGUCGCG
Molecule: ribosomal RNA, 445 nt
Filed under: uncultured soil bacterium
Lineage: Bacteria
Description: bacterial SSU rRNA
Rfam family: Bacterial small subunit ribosomal RNA
Source: RNAcentral